Molecule: transfer RNA, 70 nt
Filed under: Megalops atlanticus (tarpon)
Lineage: Eukaryota; Metazoa; Chordata; Actinopteri; Elopiformes; Megalopidae
Description: tRNA-OTHER
Source: RNAcentral
AGCAGUGUGGCAUAGUGGUAAAGAGCGGGGCUUGUAACCGAAAGGUUGAUGGUUCAAUUCCCCACUGGUG